RNAcentral lists this ribosomal RNA (492 nucleotides) under uncultured bacterium. Its description in RNAcentral is "partial 16S ribosomal RNA". It matches the Rfam family "Bacterial small subunit ribosomal RNA", at positions 29 to 507 of the family's 1533-position model. The record is from RNAcentral.
AGUGAACGCUGGCGGUAGGCCUAACACAUGCAAGUCGAACGGCAGCACAGUAAGAGCUUGCUCUUACGGGUGGCGAGUGGCGGACGGGUGAGGAAUACAUCGGAAUCUACUUUUUCGUGGGGGAUAACGUAGGGAAACUUACGCUAAUACCGCAUACGACCUACGGGUGAAAGCAGGGGAUCUUCGGACCUUGCGCGAUUGAAUGAGCCGAUGUCGGAUUAGCUAGUUGGCGGGGUAAAGGCCCACCAAGGCGACGAUCCGUAGCUGGUCUGAGAGGAUGGUAGGCCGCACUGGAGCGGAGACACGGUCCAGGCUCCUAAGGGAGGCAGCAGUGUGGAAUAUUGGACAAUGGGCGCAAGCCUGAUCCAGCCAUACCGCGUGGGUGAAGAAGGCCUUCGGGUUGUAAAGCCCUUUUGUUGGGAGAGAAAAGCAGCAGGUUAAUACCCCGCUGUUCUGACGGUACCCAAAGAAUAAGCACCGGCUAACUUCGUG